Jaculus jaculus (lesser Egyptian jerboa) is the source of this 103-nucleotide small nuclear RNA. Lineage: Eukaryota; Metazoa; Chordata; Mammalia; Rodentia; Dipodidae. The record is from Ensembl.
GUGCUCACUUUGGAAGCAUAUCUACUAAAACUGGAAUGGUACAGAGAUGAGCAUGGCCCUUGUGCAAGGAGACACGCAAAUUCGUGAAGCAUUCCAUAUUUUA